AUUGAACGCUGGCGGCAGGCCUAACACAUGCAAGUCGAGCGAGCGGCGGACGGGUGAGUAAUGUCUGGGAAACUGCCUGAUGGAGGGGGAUAACUACUGGAAACGGUAGCUAAUACCGCAUACCAUCAGAUGUGCCCAGGUGGGAUUAGCUAGUAGGUGGGGUAACGGCUCACCUAGGCGACGAGCCCUAGCUGGGCUGAGAGGGUGAUCGGCCACACUGGGACGGAGACACGGCCCAGACUCCUACGGGAGGCAGCAGUAGGGAAUCUUCGGCAAUGGGCGCAAGCCUGAUGCAGCCAUGCCGCGUGUGUGAAGAAGGCCUUCGGGUUGUAAAGCACUUUCAGCGGGGAGGCGUUACCCGCAGAAGAAGCACCGGCUAACUCCGUGCCAGCAGCCGCGGUAAUUC
RNAcentral lists this ribosomal RNA (406 nucleotides) under uncultured bacterium. Its description in RNAcentral is "partial 16S ribosomal RNA". It matches the Rfam family "Bacterial small subunit ribosomal RNA", at positions 29 to 526 of the family's 1533-position model. The record is from RNAcentral.